RNAcentral lists this unclassified non-coding RNA (709 nucleotides) under Hevea brasiliensis (rubber tree). The record is from RNAcentral. Lineage: Eukaryota; Viridiplantae; Streptophyta; Magnoliopsida; Malpighiales; Euphorbiaceae.
GCCAUCGAAAGAGGUUCUUGAUGUUUGGCAUAAUGCGAAUGCUGUAUGCUUUGAUGUGGAUAGCACUGUGUGCAUAGACGAGGGCAUUGAUGAAUUUGCGGAGUUUUGUGGUGCUGGAAAGGCUGUAGCGGAAUGGACUGCUAGGGCCAUGAAUGGUUCUGUUCCAUUUGAAGAAGCAUUGGCAGUUCGUCUUUCUCUGAUUAACCCUUCAUUAUCCCAACUCCAGGAUUUUCUUAAGAGACCUCCACGACUUUCUCCUGGCAUUGAUCUAUUGGUCAAGAAGCUGAAGGAUAAUAAUAAAGAUGUUUAUCUGGUCUCUGGAGGGUUUCGUCAAAUGAUCAAUCCUGUUGCAUCAAUCCUCGGAAUACCACUUGAAAAUAUCUUUGCCAAUCAAAUACUCUUUGGGAGCAACGGAGAAUAUGUUGGGUUUGAUAAAAAUGAGCCAACUUCAAGGCGUGGCGGAAAGGCUACUGCAGUUCAACAAAUAAGAAAGGCUCAUGGAUACAAGUCACUAGUGAUGAUUGGUGAUGGUGCUACUGAUCUUGAGGCUCGUAUGCCAGGUGGUGCGGACUUGUUUAUUUGCUAUGGCGGAAUUCAACUACGGGAAUCAGUUGCAGCUAAAGCUGAUUGGUUGGUGUUUAAUUUUAAGGACUUGAUUAAUUCAUUGGUGUAAUGUGCUAUUGCAUCUAUACUCUUCCAUAUCUAUUUU